AGCAGCCGCGGUAAUUCCAGCUCCAAUAGCGUAUAUUAAAGUUGUUGCAGUUAAAAAAGCUCGUAGUUGAAUUUUGGAUUCUGCCAGUUGGUCCAUCUUUUGAUGAGUACUGAUUGUGUGGGGUCUAUCCGCCUGGUAAUACGUAAUGUACUUUAUUGUAUGUUAUGGGUAGCCAGGACCUUUACCUUGAAAAAAUUAGAGUGUUUAAAGCAGGCUCGCGCUUGAAUACAUUAGCACGGAAUAAUGAAAUAGGACGUUUGACCCUAUUUUGUUGGUUUCUAGGAUCGACGUAAUGAUUAAUAGGGAUAGUUGGGGGCAUUAGUAUUCAAUUGUCAGAGGUGAAAUUCUUGGAUUUAUUGAAGACUAACUACUGCGAAAGCAUUUGCCUAAGGAUGCUUUCAUUAAUCAAGAACGAAAGUUAGGGAUCGAAGACGAUCAGACACCGUCGUAGUCUUAACCAUAAACUAUGCCGACUAGGAUCG
RNAcentral lists this ribosomal RNA (482 nucleotides) under uncultured Archaeospora. Its description in RNAcentral is "bacterial SSU rRNA". It matches the Rfam family "Eukaryotic small subunit ribosomal RNA", at positions 569 to 1054 of the family's 1831-position model. Lineage: Eukaryota; Fungi; Glomeromycota; Glomeromycetes; Archaeosporales; Archaeosporaceae. The record is from RNAcentral.